Molecule: ribosomal RNA, 460 nt
Filed under: uncultured bacterium
Lineage: Bacteria
Description: partial 16S ribosomal RNA
Rfam family: Bacterial small subunit ribosomal RNA
Source: RNAcentral
CCUACGGGAGGCUGCAGUGAGGAAUAUUGGUCAAUGGACGGAAGUCUGAACCAGCCAUGCAGCGUGCAGGAAGACGGCUCUAUGAGUUGUAAACUGCUUUUGUACAAGGGUAAACCUGAAUACGUGUAUUCAGCUGACAGUACUGUACGAAUAAGGAUCGGCUAACUCCGUGCCAGAAGCCGCGGUAAUACGGAGGAUCCAAGCGUUAUCCGGAUUUAUUGGGUUUAAAGGGUGCGUAGGCGGAUUGAUAAGUUAGAGGUGAAAUGUCCGAGCUCAACUCGGGAACUGCCUCUAAAACUGUUGAUCUAGAGAGUAGAUGCGGUAGGCGGAAUGUAUGGUGUAGCGGGGAAAUGCUUAGAGAUCAUACAGAACACCGAUUGCGAAGGCAGCUUACCAAUCUAUAUCUGACGUUGAGGCACGAAAGCGUGGGGAGCAAACAGGAUUAGAUACCCGAGUAGUC